This 362-nucleotide long non-coding RNA is filed under the name Brassica napus (rape). RNAcentral's name for it is "long non-coding RNA (BNAP_LNC023053)". The record is from RNAcentral. Lineage: Eukaryota; Viridiplantae; Streptophyta; Magnoliopsida; Brassicales; Brassicaceae.
UGGUAAUUUGAUUUAAUGUAAUAAGGUCAUAAUAUUAGUCAUGCCACAUGGCUAAUUUCCGAAGAGGGUUUCCAAAACGAUGUAGACGUUCUCUGGAACAUUAGUCCAUUUUAUUAGUAGGGAAAAUUGCAUAAAUGAGACAAUUUGAACUUGGAUUUGUCACAAUAGGAUUUAUAGAACAUGUUUUAGGAAAAUAGGAUUUUAAUUCCUGUAAAUACCAAAGUACUCUUAAUUUACCAAUUAUGUUGAAUUAAAAUUAUAAAUUAUAAUAAUUUUCUUAAUAGAUUUUUAAUGUUAAAAUAUUAAAAAGUUAAAAAAUUAAAAAAAAAAUUUAAUAGGGAAAAAGGGAGACGCGAGAUGCC